Molecule: ribosomal RNA, 482 nt
Filed under: uncultured bacterium
Lineage: Bacteria
Description: partial 16S ribosomal RNA
Rfam family: Bacterial small subunit ribosomal RNA
Source: RNAcentral
GACGAACGCUGGCGGCGUGCUUAACACAUGCAAGUCGAACGAUGAAGCCCAGCUUGCUGGGUGGAUUAGUGGCGAACGGGUGAGUAACACGUGGGCAACCUGCCCCAAACUCUGGGAUAACUCCUCGAAAGAGGUGCUAAUACCGGAUACGAACUAGACAGACAUCUGUACUAGUUGGAAAGUUUUUCGGUUUGGGAUGGGCCCGCGGCCUUUCAGCUUGUUGGUGAGGUAACGGCUCACCAAGGUUACGACGGGUAACCGGCCUGAGAGGGCGACCGGUCACACUGGGACUGAGACGCGGCCCAGACUCCUACGGGAGGCAGCAGUGGGGAAUAUUGCGCAAUGGGCGAAAGCCUGACGCAGCGACGCCGCGUGAGGGAUGUAGGUCUUCGGAUCGUAAACCUCUUUCAGUAGGGACGAAGCGAAAGUGACGGUACCUAAAGAAGAAGCACCGGCUAACUACGUGCCAGCCGCCGCCGUAA